UGCAGCAGGCACGCAAAUUACCCACUCUCAGAACGAGGAGGUAGUGACGAAAAAUAACAAUACGGGACUAUUAAUAGGCCCCGUAAUUGGAAUGAGUACAAUAUAAAUCCUUUAACGAGGAUCUAUUGGAGGGCAAGUCUGGUGCCAGCAGCCGCGGUAAUUCCAGCUCCAAUAGCGUAUAUUAAAGUUGCUGCGUUUAAAAAGCUCGUAGUUGUAUCUCAGUUCAUGUCAAAAGGUCAAGCACUUAUUAGUGAUUACUUUUUGACUGAACAUUAAACCGAUUUGUUUACUGAUGCUCUUUACCGAGUGUUAUUAAGAAAUCGGAAUAUUUACUUUGAAAAAAUUAGAGUGCUCAAAGCAGGCAUUUUUCGCCUAAAUAUUCUUGCAUGGAAUAAUGGAAUAAGAUCUAGGUUCUAUUCUGUUGGUCUUUUGAACCUCAGUUAAUGAUUAAAAGGGACAGACGGGGGCAUUCGUAUUGCGGCGCUCGAGGUGAAAUUCUUGGACCGNCGCAAGACUACCG
This 520-nucleotide ribosomal RNA is filed under the name Demodex canis (dog follicle mite). RNAcentral's name for it is "SSU rRNA". It matches the Rfam family "Eukaryotic small subunit ribosomal RNA", at positions 424 to 941 of the family's 1831-position model. The record is from RNAcentral. Lineage: Eukaryota; Metazoa; Arthropoda; Arachnida; Trombidiformes; Demodicidae.